GUAGGUGAACCUGCGGAAGGAUCAUUAACACGUUUCGUUCCGAACGUUUUUGACCACUUCUAUUUUCCGUGCACUCAUGCGUCCGGCCUCCCAGCCGCUCACCGGGUUUACUCGGUGUGGCCUGUUGGGCGUACUUUUUAAAAAGUCUUCUGACUUUUUUUUGGUGCGUUGCCACCUAACCCAAACCCCUUAAAUCUAAAUUAUCUGAACUUUUAGUUGUGAAAGACUUCACCGUCUGAAUCAACGAUUAUUGAACAAACAACAACUCUUAACAACGGAUAUCUUGGUUCUC
RNAcentral lists this unclassified non-coding RNA (292 nucleotides) under rhizosphere metagenome. RNAcentral's name for it is "partial ribosomal RNA internal transcribed spacer region". The record is from RNAcentral.